GCCUUCGUGGUAUACACUCGGCUCGUAUUCGAGAGGUCCGUGGUUCGAGUCCCGGAGAGGGCA
RNAcentral lists this transfer RNA (63 nucleotides) under Stegodyphus mimosarum. It matches the Rfam family "tRNA". Rfam says of the family: Transfer RNA (tRNA) molecules are approximately 80 nucleotides in length. The record is from Rfam by way of RNAcentral. Lineage: Eukaryota; Metazoa; Arthropoda; Arachnida; Araneae; Eresidae.